Long non-coding RNA from Melanotaenia boesemani (Boeseman's rainbowfish), 1855 nucleotides. RefSeq lists it as uncharacterized. The transcript has 4 exons. The record is from RefSeq and is a predicted model, not a curated record. Lineage: Eukaryota; Metazoa; Chordata; Actinopteri; Atheriniformes; Melanotaeniidae.
AUCUAAAUAAAGUUGUUCAUUUAAUGGUCAUCAAUGGUAAAGAUAAACUUAACUGUUAUUAAGCAGAGCUCUAAAGGGUCUAGCAGUGUAAGAAUGAAAGCUCGAUGUGUUUCACACAGCUGAUGAUUGAUGCGGAUUGAGGCUGAGAACGGAGUUAAGUGAAACGUGGUUGCUGAGCAGCGCCCAUCGCCUCGCUGGGGGAAUACUGGACAGCGCAACGGCAGGGGAGAUAGCACUGUCUGUUGGUUUCCUGGGAGAGCGUGUUCUUCAGUUGGGGCAGGCUAUCCGCCAUGGUGAAUGUAAGUGCAAGUUGGUAUUGUAAAUAGGGACUGUUUUCUUUAUUUUUAUAAUAUGUCCUGUAACCAAAUGCAUUUAAUAACAUGACUGUAUUUUGGAUGUGUGCUUAGUAGUGUCUAUUCUUUGUUUUAUAACAGGAAUAGUCCACUACUGUUGUCUUAUUUUGGGUCUUAUUUUGGUCUUAUCUUUUCUUUUCUUUCUUCACCGGUCUCUUUGACCUGAACCAGUUUUUUGUUGGGAGUCCUGAGUUUCAGUUUAUGGACAUUGAAGAUACUUUUUGUUCAUAAGGAAUAUAUUGAACCUUGAAGAGAGGUGUUUCUUGUUGCUACCUAAAUGUUACAGAGGAACCUAAGUUAUUUUGUGGAAACACACAAACCAAACAAAUUAAUGCUGCUCUCCUUUUGGGGAACAGUCGGGAAAUAAAAGACCCACAUUAUUUUUGGAGCUGCCUGUCGUGUGCGGUUUUUUUUCUCGUUCCUACACCUGGCCCCACACCCACACGCCACCGCCAGCCCACAUAUUGGUGUCAGAAGUGGGAUUUCCAGUUUGAUUUGUCCCGUUUUGAAUUUGCAUUUUUGUCAGGACUUUAUUAAUAGGGUUUUUUUAGUGGUAUAAGACAACAGUAGUGGUGAAGAGGAGUCCCAUCCGCCUUGUUGUGAGUGGUACAGAGCUUCUGAGGGGCCGAGCGAGGACAAGCUGAGCUGCUCGGACGAGACACGGCUGCUCAGGUGCCAGGAGUUACACAUCGACCCCAAAAGGCCAAGGGACAGCACAACUCAAAAAAGGACUGUGUGACCCCAGAGGAGACAUUCACAAAAUGUCCGACAACGAGGAAGGACUGGACAUGUCCAUGCCUGGAACCAGCCAGGCGGGAGCUGAUGAUUGAUGCGGAUUGAGGCUGAGAACGGAGUUAAGUGAAACGUGGUUGCUGAGCAGCGCCCAUCGCCUCGCUGGGGGAAUACUGGACAGCGCAACGGCAGGGGAGAUAGCACUGUCUGUUGGUUUCCUGGGAGAGCGUGUUCUUCAGUUGGGGCAGGCUAUCCGCCAUGGUGAAUGUAAGUGCAAGUUGGUAUUGUAAAUAGGGACUGUUUUCUUUAUUUUUAUAAUAUGUCCUGUAACCAAAUGCAUUUAAUAACAUGACUGUAUUUUGGAUGUGUGCUUAGUAGUGUCUAUUCUUUGUUUUAUAACAGGAAUAGUCCACUACUGUUGUCUUAUUUUGGGUCUUAUUUUGGUCUUAUCUUUUCUUUUCUUUCUUCACCGGUCUCUUUGACCUGAACCAGUUUUUUGUUGGGAGUCCUGAGUUUCAGUUUAUGGACAUUGAAGAUACUUUUUGUUCAUAAGGAAUAUAUUGAACCUUGAAGAGAGGUGUUUCUUGUUGCUACCUAAAUGUUACAGAGGAACCUAAGUUAUUUUGUGGAAACACACAAACCAAACAAAUUAAUGCUGCUCUCCUUUUGGGGAACAGUCGGGAAAUAAAAGACCCACAUUAUUUUUGGAGCUGCCUGUCGUGUGCGGUUUUUUUCUCGUUCCUACACCUGGCCCCACACCCACACGCCAC